UCUUCCCUGAUUGCCUGUGAGAUAACUCUUUCCUUUCUUUCCUAUCUGUAUACACAGCAUGAGUUUCCAUAAGCUAAAUGGGACAUAACAUGAUUGAUUAACUAGGGGACAUGUGUAGACCCUCUUCUGACCCAUACAGAAGUAGAGUGUGUGGGCAGAGAGAAAGGCCUGUUGUGUAAGUGCCACAGCCUCUUUGUUGUGCUAAAAGCAAUGGAAAUGUCUAAGAAGUAUUGUGAUGGCCUAAGACGUCAUUCUUGAGCAAGAGCUAGAUGGAAUCACAUGCCAUAUUUUUACGUUUACAAUUUCAGUGUUCUAGCUAUAUACUUAAAACUAUAAACAAUGCUUUUGUUACAGAGAUUCCUGCAGUCCCCAUGCCCCUCUUUUUUUUGUUAACUGAAACAAAAGUAUGUAUAAUGCUGUUUUUGUUAAAGUAAGGUUGCCUGGGCACACCACCCUCACAUCAUUGCAGAACGCACUAAACUAGAGCCUGCCGUCGUUUGGGCCAACCCAACGGAAUUGCUCUCCCUUGUAAUCAUAAGGACCUAAAACUGAACAGGUAACAUACCCAACAUCUCAGAUUCAUUAUUUUUAAUGUAUUUUUUUUUGGUAGCUUUGGCAUGGGACAGUCACAUCAAAGGUGCUUGUUAUGACCUAAGCAAUCAUCAUCAAUAGCUGAUAACAUCCAAAGAGAGACACAACCAGACAUUAUGCACCUCCUGAUUAUAGUACAAAAGAAUGCAAACUAAGUCUGCACAACCUCCAGCUCUAAGUACCAAUGCCAAGGAAACACAGGAGAAAAGGAAACGUACUAAACCAUGUUAUUAUUGGAAUGCCAUUAACCAAAGCCAACAUGUGGGAGACUACCAGACAAGAAGAUUUAGUUCCUUUAACAGCAUCAACAACACAGCAAACAGGGAAAAAGAGGAUGGAGUUUUCAUGCCUCAGGGAUACUGAGGCAAAUAAACUGUCAGUAAAGAAAAGAGAGCAAGGUAGAAAGAGGCUAUUUAUAGGAGAAUCAGGAAAAUGUAAAUACUAAAUGAAUAUCUGAUACUAUUACAGAAUUAUUAAUAUUGGUUUUUAGGGAGCUGUGAUGAUUCUUAGGGAGGUGUCCUGAUGCUGCAUAGUUGCUUUUAAAAAGGGCACUCUUUGUCUUUUACAGAUCCACACUGAAACGUUUACUGAUGAAAUGCUCUCUAACAUCUGGGAUUUCCUUCAAAAUUAUCCGGGGCAGAGAGGGAGUGGGUACGGGCAGAGGAAAUAACAUAGGACAUAAGUUGAAAAUACUGAAGCUGAGUGAAGGGAGUUCAUUGUAAUACACUCCACACUUUGGUAUAUGUUUGAAAUUUUGCCUAAUAAAAAAAAUUCAGUGUCUAUUUUACAGAUGUAUUUGUCAUUUCAACAAACAUAUGUUGAAAUCAUGUUGCACAUUAGGGAUUGGAGACAUAUACACAAAUUAGCAUUCCGGCCAGACUGCUUAUCAUUACUUCUUAUUUCCUGUUUGUAAGAUGCCAUUCGUCUGGGCAAGGUAGCACAUGCUUGUAAUCCCAGAUUUUUGGGAGGCUGCAGUGGGACCAUCACUAGAGGUUAGCACUUGGAGACCAGCCUGGGCAACAUAGGGAGACAUCAUACCACACUGAAUUUUGAAGGGUUCUCGCUGAAUUGCUCCAAAUCUGACAUUCUGGGUAACCCUCCUCAUGCAGCUGGGAGCCUUUGGAAUCUUCACAACCAGGAGGGCUGUGUCUUUGACCUUGAUUUAGGCCUUGUGUCUUCAGGGCAUGCCAAGGGGCCGGUGCAGGCUGGACAGAGGUGUGAUCUCCUUUUCUCAGCAUAAUUUCCUUCCUGGGGUCUUCAUAUCGCCCUGAGGCAGGAGCUGGGGUGCUGGCUCCUUCUGAAGGUCGCUUUUCUGGCCUUUGCCUGGG
This 1919-nucleotide long non-coding RNA is filed under the name Homo sapiens (human). RNAcentral describes it as "HSALNT0058409". Lineage: Eukaryota; Metazoa; Chordata; Mammalia; Primates; Hominidae. The record is from RNAcentral.